Paramuricea clavata is the source of this 1603-nucleotide non-coding RNA. The record is from the annotation of a GenBank genome assembly. Lineage: Eukaryota; Metazoa; Cnidaria; Anthozoa; Malacalcyonacea; Plexauridae.
CCUCAUCUUUAUCUUCUUAUCUUCCUUAUCCUGAUCUUUAUCUUCCUCAUCCUGAUCUUUAUCUUCCUUAUCCUUAUCUUCUUAUUUUCCUUAUCUUUAUCUUUCUCGUCAUAUCUUUAUCUUCUUAUCUUCCUUAUCUUAUCUUCUUAUCUGUAUCUUAUUAUCUUUAUCUUCCUUAUCUUCCUUAUCUUUAUCUUCUUAUCUUCUUUAUUCUUAUAUUUAUCUAUUAUCUUCCUUAUCCUUAUCCUUAUCUUCUUGUCUUUAUUUUAUUAUCCUUACCUUUAUUUUCCUUAUCUUCCUUAUCUGUAUCUUCUUAUCUUCCUUAUCCUUAUCUUUAUUUUCCUUAUCUUCUUAUCUCCUCGUCUUCAUCUUCUUAUCUCCUCCUUUUCAUCUUCUUAUCUUCCUUAUCCUUAUCUUUAUCUUCCUUAUCCUUAUCUUCAUAUUUUCCUUAUCUUUAUCUUUAUCUUCGUAUCUUCUUAUUUUCCUUAUCCUUAUCUUCUUAUCUUUAUCUUAUUAUCCUUAUCUUUAUCUUCCUUUUCUUUAUCUUCUUAUCUUCCUUUUUCUUAUCUUUAUCUUCUUAUCUUCCUGAUCCUUAUCCUUAUCUUCUUAUCUUUUAUCUUUUUUAUCUUAUUAUCUUUAUCUUUAUCUUCCUUAUCUUUAUCUUCCUUAACCUUAUCUUCUUAUCUUCUUUAUCUUUAUGUUCUUAUCUUUAUCUUCUUAUCUUUAUCUCCUUAUCUCCAUUAUUCUUAUCCUUAUCCUUAAAGCUUAUCCUUAUCCUUAACCUCAUCCUUAUCCUUAUCCUUAUCCUUAUCUUCUUGUCUUUAUCUUAUUAUCCUUCUCUUUAUUUUCCUUAUCUUCCUUAUCUUUAUCGUCUUAUCUUCCUUACCCUUAUCUUUAUUUUCCUUAUCUUCUUAUCUCCUUAUCUUCAUCUUCUUAUCUUCCUUAUUCUAAUCUUUAUAAUCCUUAUCCUAAUCUUCUAAUUUUCCUUAUCUUUAUCUUUAUCUUCUUAUCUUUAUCUUCUUAUCUUUAUCUUAUUAUUCUUAUCUUUAUCUUCCUUAUCUUCCUUAUUUUUAUCUUCCUUAUCUUUCUUAUCUUUAUCUUCUUAUCUUCCUUAUUCUUAUCUUUAUCUUCCUUAUUCUUAUGUUUAUCUUCCUUAUCCUUAUCUUUAUCUUCCUUAUCUUCCUUAUCUUUAUCUUUUUAUCUUCCUUAUCCUCAAUAAGCUUCCCGCUAUAUUGAUAUGUUCAACACAACUUAGGAGCCGAGCUCUUUAGGCUCGGAGCCAGCUCCUUAGGCUCGGAGCCAGCUCCUUAGGCUCGGAGCCAGCUCCUUAGGCUCGGCGCCAGCUCCAUAGGCUCGGAGCCAGCUCCUUAGGCUUCCUUAUCAUUAUUUUCCUUAGCUCUUUAGGCUCGGAGCCAGCUCCAUAGGCUCGGAACCGAAAAUAAGAGGAUAAUGAUAAGGAAGCCUAAGGAGAGCGGCUCCGAGCCUAUGGAGCUGGCUCCGAGCCUAAAGAGCUCAGCUCCGAGGCUAGGGAGCUCGGCUCCCAGCCUAAGUUGUGUUGAACAUAUCAAUAUAGCGGGAAGCUUAUUCAGAAUAAGGAAGAUAA